UUGUGAACCAUCAUGCCGUUCCUAUGUUAUCUCUACGAGGAGCUAAGUGAGAUCUAAUAUAUGUGGAAUUAUGAAAAGAUUUAUCUAUUUCUUCUGUUUAAAAAUCACUUAUUUCAGUACCAGAACCGUGAAUUUUUUGUACCCGUUUGCAAUCACUUCAGUGAGCGUGAUGGCUUAGAUUCCCAAAAGAUGAGAAGCAGAAAGAAAUUGGAACUUUCCUGCUCGAUUCUCGGAUGGAAGAACAUUUCCAAAUUGACAAAUAUCCUUAUUUUUACAGCUUUAUUGCAUGCAUAUCUAAUGUAAAAUUCCCUCAAAAGUUCUUACUUAAUAUAUUCUUAUUUUCAAGGCCAAACUCCACAGAAUGGAGUAACAACCAU
Uloborus diversus is the source of this 377-nucleotide long non-coding RNA. RefSeq lists it as uncharacterized. Lineage: Eukaryota; Metazoa; Arthropoda; Arachnida; Araneae; Uloboridae. The transcript has 3 exons. The record is from RefSeq and is a predicted model, not a curated record.